This 1252-nucleotide long non-coding RNA is filed under the name Equus caballus (horse). RNAcentral describes it as "lncRNA (ENSECAG00000055041.1)". The record is from RNAcentral. Lineage: Eukaryota; Metazoa; Chordata; Mammalia; Perissodactyla; Equidae.
UCCAAAGCGGCCCAGCCCCGUCGGCCUCACGCGUGAAGAAAGGAUGUCCCAGGCUGACAUUUUAGCAGCACAGAGGGGUUCCAAUUCCUUAUGAAAUCACUGAUUUGAUGUUUAUUCUGUUUCCAAAAGUUAAGUCAAUUCAAGUAAACUCUUAGCUAAGAGAUAUUGUUAGGAGUGAGGAGAAAGGCCGGGACAGCCAGGCCUGUGAUGUGACACUGGUGCCACACUCAGAGGUUGCUGGGGCCACCCUGCAGGAGCCACUGGUCCACACAGAACAGAGGGUGCUGCUAAGUCUGUUUCCAAAACCAAGAGCCCGCAUGCACCUUUCCUGGAGGCGCAGACGCGAAGCACACGCUGACGCCAACUCCGCCCCUCACUGGCCAGGACUCUUGACUUUUCUGCGCCUCAAUUUUCUGCUCUGUAAAACGCAGUUACAGGGACCACAGAGCAACAGCUAUUGAUUAAAUGCAAGGCAGAGAGCCCUGGGAAAAAAGGGCUGUCUUCGCUCCAGGCCAAGGAACGUGCCAAGGCUUGGCUGAAUUCACCAGGACAGUAAUGGUGUUACCUGGCUUCUCUACACCCAGGCUGCUGCCAGUGAUGCUGGAGGAAGUAUCUGCUUGGUUCAGGGUAGUUCACACCACUCCCUUCCCUGCAAAAUGUGUGAGGCAAAGCCCUCCUUUCUUUAUUUUUAGAAAACCAGAGAAUCCUCAUCACUAUUUGGAGUCGAUUCCCUAGUCCGAAUAUUACCAGCGUCGGCUCCGAAGACACACUUUCUAUCAGCCACGACCUGCGUUGGAUAUAGAUGAGCUUGUGGAGAUGACGUGAAAUCCCUCAGGAGGUGGAAUAAUGUCGUUUAAAGAAGCCACAUUGUAUCCAGAGGGCCAGAGCCAUUAAGGAGCACGGGACUCACACUGUGUUUCAAUAUUGCUGGCUGCUAGAUUGCUUCCCACUAAACACAACUCCUGGCAGUCACCUGUAAUUGAUUACCCUGCCUGUCCAGCAGCUUCUAUUGUUUUUAUUUGUAAGGAAACUGAGAACUCGAUUCUCAUCAACAUCCCCAGGUCUCUGAAAGGCUAUUUCAUAAAAUUAAAGUUUUUCUCCUAUAAAAAACUUUUUUUCCCCUGAAGCAUGAGGGUUUGAAUCCAGCCCAGCUUGGUAAUUGACUGGGAGGCAUUUGGCUACAGGCAUUCUGAUUGCUUAAUGAGGGAGUGACGCUAAACUGCCAUUUCUUGAGCACUUAUUACGUACAAGU